CCUACGGGAGGCAGCAGUGGGGAAUAUUGGACAAUGGGCGCAAGCCUGAUCCAGCCAUGCCGCGUGUGUGAAGAAGGCCUUCGGGUUGUAAAGCACUUUUAUCCGGAAAGAAAAGCUUUGGGUUAAUACCCUGAAGUCAUGACGGUACCGGAAGAAUAAGCACCGGCUAACUUCGUGCCAGCAGCCGCGGUAAUACGAAGGGUGCAAGCGUUACUCGGAAUUACUGGGCGUAAAGCGUGCGUAGGUGGUUUGUUAAGUCUGAUGUGAAAGCCCUAGGCUCAACCUGGGAAUUGCAUUGGAUACUGGCAGGCUAGAGUGCGGUAGAGGAUAGUGGAAUUCCCGGUGUAGCAGUGAAAUGCGUAGAGAUCGGGAGGAACAUCUGUGGCGAAGGCGACUAUCUGGGCCAGCACUGACACUGAGGCACGAAAGCGUGGGGAGCAAACAGGAUUAGAUACCCUGGUAGUCCACGCCCUAAACGAUGCGAACUGGAUGUUGGGUGCAACUAGGCACUCAGUAUCGAAGCUAACGCGUUAAGUUCGCCGCCUGGGGAGUACGGUCGCAAGACUGAAACUCAAAGGAUUGACGG
Molecule: ribosomal RNA, 586 nt
Filed under: uncultured bacterium
Lineage: Bacteria
Description: bacterial SSU rRNA
Rfam family: Bacterial small subunit ribosomal RNA
Source: RNAcentral